AACAAUUCAAUCAAUUGUCAAAAUAAAUCCAUAAAAUUUUAACAAUAACAACAUUGUUUUUAAAAUGACUAUUCUACCAUGGUCUUUUUACCGUGCACAUGGUACAAAUAACAAUAGCUUCAUAUUUUCAUUCGGUUUGUUCAAUUUUCAUCGAAACACGUCACUUGUCCGCUUGUCCGUUUUGCUAAUCAAACUUCUGUUUUUAUUUGUGGAAAUUACUGUCGGCGGAUUACUUCUGGAUGCAGUGAUAGUUGAUGCACGUUGAUGCCCGUGAUGAAAUCCCGGAGAUCCGAGACACUGGAUUUAUUAGAUCGACAAUUCGUGUUUGUUCCGUGAUUAAACGAGAUCCUGCGAUUUGCAAUUCGUUCAUUUGCGCCUCUAAUCCGUCAGUACAAGUUUCUUCACGAGCACCCCAAUAUCCUCUUCUUUCUACAUCAGCUGCUCUGAGCGUUCCUGAGGAAAUUUUCAAACGGAAGGAAAAUGGAAAGAUUCUCAGAGAAAUUUCCACCAGAGCAACCAGAAGUGUACUUCAAUUCACGCAACGCAGCGAUAAACAAAAAUCAUCUAACCGGAAUGCUCUAUAAUCGUUCCCUCAACCGGUACAAAAAGCAUCAGCUGCUUACCAAACAGGAUCAUAAAGAUACCGCUGAUUACUGGAAAAUAUUUGAGUUUUGACCCUGACAAGGAAAGGUUAUAAUUCAAGACAAAAUUUUCAAAACGACUUAUCUGCUUUUGUAAACAAAGAUUCAA
Armigeres subalbatus is the source of this 750-nucleotide long non-coding RNA. RefSeq lists it as uncharacterized. The transcript is spliced from 3 exons. Lineage: Eukaryota; Metazoa; Arthropoda; Insecta; Diptera; Culicidae. The record is from RefSeq and is a predicted model, not a curated record.